RNAcentral lists this ribosomal RNA (450 nucleotides) under uncultured bacterium. RNAcentral describes it as "partial 16S ribosomal RNA". It matches the Rfam family "Bacterial small subunit ribosomal RNA", at positions 354 to 796 of the family's 1533-position model. The record is from RNAcentral.
GUGGGGAAUAUUGGACAAUGGGCGAAAGCCUGAUCCAGCCAUGCCGCGUGUGUGAAGAAGGUCUUCGGAUUGUAAAGCACUUUAAGUUGGGAGGAAGGGCAGUAAGUUAAUACCUUGCUGUUUUGACGUUACCGACAGAAUAAGCACCGGCUAACUUCGUGCCAGCAGCCGCGGUAAUACGAAGGGUGCAAGCGUUAAUCGGAAUUACUGGGCGUAAAGCGCGCGUAGGUGGUUUUGUAAGUUGGAGGUGAGAUCCCCGGGCUCAACCUGGGAACUGCCUCCAAAACUGCAUGACUAGAGUACGGUAGAGGGUAGUGGAAUUUCCUGUGUAGCGGUGAAAUGCGUAGAUAUAGGAAGGAACACCAGUGGCGAAGGCGACUACCUGGACUGAUACUGACACUGAGGUGCGAAAGCGUGGGGAGCAAACAGGAUUAGAUACCCCGGUAGUCC